UCAUGAGUUUCAUAAAAUUUACUAUGGU
RNAcentral lists this non-coding RNA (28 nucleotides) under Bombyx mori (domestic silkworm). Lineage: Eukaryota; Metazoa; Arthropoda; Insecta; Lepidoptera; Bombycidae. The record is from RNAcentral.